GCCCCCGUAAUUCAAUGGAUAGAAUGGAGGCCUCCGGAGCCUCAAAUGUAGGUUCGAUUCCUACCGGGGGCA
This is a non-coding RNA of Parcubacteria group bacterium CG1_02_39_15, 72 nucleotides long. The record is from Rfam.